AUUGAACGCUGGCGGAAUGCUUUACACAUGCAAGUCGAGCGGCAGCACGGGGGCAACCCUGGUGGCGAGCGGCGAACGGGUGAGUAACACAUCGGAACAUGCCCAGUCGUGGGGGAUAACACUUCGAAAGAAGUGCUAAUACCGCAUACGUCCUGAGGGAGAAAGCGGGGGAUCGCAAGACCUCGCGCGAUUGGAGUGGCCGAUGUCAGAUUAGCUAGUUGGUGGGGUAAAGGCCUACCAAGGCAACGAUCUGUAGCUGGUCUGAGAGGAUGAUCAGCCACACUGGGACUGGGACACGGCCCAGACUCCUACGGGAGGCAGCAGUGGGGAAUUUUGGACAAUGGGGGCAACCCUGAUCCAGCCAUUCCGCGUGAGUGAAGAAGGCCUUCGGGUUGUAAAGCUCUUUCGGCAGGAACGAAACGGUGAGCUCUAACAUAGCUUGCUAAUGACGGUACCUGAAAAAGAAGCACCGGCUAACUACGUG
Molecule: ribosomal RNA, 484 nt
Filed under: uncultured bacterium
Lineage: Bacteria
Description: partial 16S ribosomal RNA
Rfam family: Bacterial small subunit ribosomal RNA
Source: RNAcentral